GACGAACGCUGGCGGCGUGCCUAAUACAUGCAAGUCGAACGCUUCUUUCCUCCCGAGUGCUUGCACUCAAUUGGAAAGAGGAGUGGCGGACGGGUGAGUAACACGUGGGUAACCUACCCAUCAGAGGGGGAUAACACUUGCAAACAGGUGCUAAUACCGCAUAACAGUUUAUGCCGCAUGGCAUAAGAGUGAAAGGCGCUUUCGGGUGUCGCUGAUGGAUGGACCCGCGGUGCAUUAGCUAGUUGGUGAGGUAACGGCUCACCAAGGCCACGAUGCAUAGCCGACCUGAGAGGGUGAUCGGCCACACUGGGACUGAGACACGGCCCAGACUCCUACGGGAGGCAGCAGUAGGGAAUCUUCGGCAAUGGACGAAAGUCUGACCGAGCAACGCCGCGUGAGUGAAGAAGGUUUUCGGAUCGUAAAACUCUGUUGUUAGAGAAGAACAAGGACGUUAGUAACUGAACGUCCCCUGACGGUAUCUAACCAGAAAGACACGGCUAACUACGUG
RNAcentral lists this ribosomal RNA (508 nucleotides) under uncultured bacterium. RNAcentral's name for it is "partial 16S ribosomal RNA". It matches the Rfam family "Bacterial small subunit ribosomal RNA", at positions 28 to 507 of the family's 1533-position model. The record is from RNAcentral.